UACGGAGGGGGCUAGCGUUGUUCGGAAUUACUGGGCGUAAAGCGCACGUAGGCGGCUUUGUAAGUUAGAGGUGAAAGCCCGGAGCUCAACUCCGGAACUGCCUUUAAGACUGCAUCGCUUGAACAUCGGAGAGGUGAGUGGAAUUCCGAGUGUAGAGGUGAAAUUCGUAGAUAUUCGGAAGAACACCAGUGGCGAAGGCGACUCACUGGACGAUUGUUGACGCUGAGGUGCGAAAGCGUGGGGAGCAAACAGG
Molecule: ribosomal RNA, 253 nt
Filed under: uncultured bacterium
Lineage: Bacteria
Description: partial 16S ribosomal RNA
Rfam family: Bacterial small subunit ribosomal RNA
Source: RNAcentral